RNAcentral lists this ribosomal RNA (473 nucleotides) under uncultured bacterium. RNAcentral's name for it is "bacterial SSU rRNA". It matches the Rfam family "Bacterial small subunit ribosomal RNA", at positions 8 to 526 of the family's 1533-position model. The record is from RNAcentral.
AGAGUUUGAUCAUGGCUCAGAGCGAACGCUGGCGGCAGGCCUAACACAUGCAAGUCGAACGGGCCCCUUCGGGGGUCAGUGGCAGACGGGUGAGUAACACGUGGGAACGUGCCCUUCAGUUCGGAACAACCCAGGGAAACUUGGGCUAACACCGGAUACGCCCUUUGGGGAAAGAGUGAUCGCUGAAGGAUCGGCCCGCGUCUGAUUAGCUAGUUGGUAGGGUAACGGCCUACCAAGGCGACGAUCAGUAGCUGGUCUGAGAGGAUGAUCAGCCACACUGGGACUGAGACACGGCCCAGACUCCUACGGGAGGCAGCAGUGGGGAAUAUUGGACAAUGGGCGCAAGCCUGAUCCAGCCAUGCCGCGUGAGUGAUGAAGGCCCUAGGGUUGUAAAGCUCUUUCGGCGGGGACGAUAAUGACGGUACCCGCAGAAGAAGCCCCGGCUAACUUCGUGCCAGCAGCGGCGGUAAUAC